This 492-nucleotide ribosomal RNA is filed under the name uncultured bacterium. Its description in RNAcentral is "partial 16S ribosomal RNA". It matches the Rfam family "Bacterial small subunit ribosomal RNA", at positions 29 to 507 of the family's 1533-position model. The record is from RNAcentral.
AGUGAACGCUGGCGGUAGGCCUAACACAUGCAAGUCGAACGGCAGCACAGUAAGAGCUUGCUCUUACGGGUGGCGAGUGGCGGACGGGUGAGGAAUACAUCGGAAUCUACUUUUUCGUGGGGGAUAACGUAGGGAAACUUACGCUAAUACCGCAUACGACCUACGGGUGAAAGCAGGGGAUCUUCGGACCUUGCGCGAUUGAAUGAGCCGAUGUCGGAUUAGCUAGUUGGCGGGGUAAAGGCCCACCAAGGCGACGAUCCGUAGUUGGUCUGAGAGGAUGAUCGGCCACACUGGAACUGAGACACGGUCCAGACUCCUACGGGAGGCAGCAGUGGGGAAUAUUGGACAAUGGGCGCAAGCCUGAUCCAGCCAUACCGCGUGGGUGAAGAAGGCCUUCGGGUUGUAAAGCCCUUUUGUUGGGAAAGAAAAGCAGCAGGUUAAUACCCCGCUGUUCUGACGGUACCCAAAGAAUAAGCACCGGCUAACUUCGUG